This is a non-coding RNA of Oryzias latipes (Japanese medaka), 576 nucleotides long. The record is from RefSeq and is a predicted model, not a curated record. NCBI's taxonomy places the organism in Eukaryota, Metazoa, Chordata, Actinopteri, Beloniformes, Adrianichthyidae.
ACUCCUGAAUGGAUGGCUUUGAAGUCAGAAGGUGAAUCCAUUGACGUGUCACUCCUGUUGGACCCCCAGCUGGAUCCAGAUCCAGAUCCAGGUCCAGAUCCAGAUCCAGGUCCAGGUUGGUUCCUGUGAAGAAUGAAGGUUGCUGGUGUGAGUCCUGAGCUCUGACAUGGAGAAGAUCAUGGACAGUUGGAGAUGUUCAUCUCACCUCUGAGCUUUGCUCUGGUUGUCAUGGUUACCAUCUCUGCUUUUUUUAGAGGGAGGGGCUCCCUCCUGUGGUUCCUCCCACUGAUUCAUGCUGCUGGAUUCACUGGAUCCACAUCAGCUCACACACACCUUCCUCCUUCACCUGCAGAGGAAACCCUCCUCAUCAUCAGCUGUGAUCCUCCUUCACCAACAGAUCAGCUGCUCCUCCACUGAUUGGCUCUUCUCUUGUGUUUCCUUUCUGGUUCAGGUGAAUGCAGUCAGACAGCAGUGGGAGGCAGAGGAAGCUGUCAUCAGCUGCUGCACUUCUGCUCUCCCUCCACCAGGUGGAGACAUGGAGCUGCAGCAGCAACACUUCCAUUCAGUCACUUUGGC